UGGGAGGUAAAUUUCUCCUAAGGCUAAAUAACGGCGAGAGACCGAUAGCGAACAAGUACCGUGAGGGAAAGAUGAAAAGGACUUCGAAAAGAGAGUUAAACAGUACGUGAAAUUGUUGAAAGGGAAACGAUUGAAGCCAGUCGUACCUAUGGGUAAUCAGCCUUUUGGGUGUGAUUUUGUGGAGCGUGAAGAGUUAAACGCCUUCAUGCCUGCAUAUUCGUGCACUUUGGGUGUACUUGCCCGUGUGUAAGUUAACAUCAAUUUUGGUGGUCAUAAAAUGGCUGGAGGAAUGUAGCUUCGAUCUUGUAUUGAAGUGUUAUAGCCUUCGGUAGAUGUGACGAUCGGGAUUGAGGAUUGCAACGGAUACCCUUCGGGGCUACCUGUCUGAUCUCUGAUUGUUGCUCUGGUACCGAAAGCUUGCUUACGGUUAUCAAAGUCGAUGGUCAAUAGGUUAGAACAGGUUAAAUUCGUUAAGGAUGUUGACGUAAUGGCUUUAAACGACCCGUCUUGAAACACGGACCAAGGAGUCUAACAUAUAUGCGAGUGUUAGGGUGAAUAAACCCUUACGCGUAAUGAAAGUAAUUUUGGUGGGUUCACUUUUGUGCACCAUCGACC
RNAcentral lists this ribosomal RNA (615 nucleotides) under uncultured Glomeromycotina. RNAcentral describes it as "eukaryotic LSU rRNA". It matches the Rfam family "Eukaryotic large subunit ribosomal RNA", at positions 293 to 766 of the family's 3401-position model. The record is from RNAcentral. Lineage: Eukaryota; Fungi; Glomeromycota.